AUGUGGGCUAUUUGGAGUGCAAGGCGGAAAGCUAUACAUGAAGAUAUAUACCAUACUCCAUUUGCCACUGACAACUUCAUCAAAGCUUACUUAUCAGAUAUAGAGUUUUUGAAGAAGGAGAAAGCACAUGGGAUAGCAGUACCACGAGAUCAUACGUGGAUUCCGCCACCAACAGAUCACUACAAGCUCAAUGUGGACGCGGCCGUGUCACGCUCGGGCACGUUUGGCGCAGUUGGUGUGGUUUGCAGGGAUGAAAGGGGUUUGUUCAUGGGAGCGUCAGCUCUCGUUUUCAGUGGACUGCGCAACCCCCAGGUGCUAGAAGCACUAGUUGUUUGGGAGGCAUUAGCUCUUUCAGAAGAUCUCUAUAUCAACCAAUUACUGGUGGCCUCCGAUUGCAAGGUGGUGGUAGAUGCAAUCAGGCAAGGAAGCUCAGCAGACUUUGGAGCCAUUGUUGAAGAAAUCAAGGCUAGAGCAACUACCUUUAUUUCAUGUUCGUUUACUCAUGAGUAUAGGACCUCCAAUACGGAGGCCCAUAAUCUCGCAAAGCAUGCUUUAUCUUUAGGGUUUGGCCGACACACCUUGCUAGGACAACCCGGUGAUCUUCCUUUUGUACCUAUGAACAUUAUGAUUCAGUAA
RNAcentral lists this ribosomal RNA (636 nucleotides) under Triticum aestivum (bread wheat). RNAcentral describes it as "partial small subunit ribosomal RNA". Lineage: Eukaryota; Viridiplantae; Streptophyta; Magnoliopsida; Poales; Poaceae. The record is from RNAcentral.